GUCAUGUCAGAGCGCUGUACCUAUCCGUCAAGGGCGUCAUCACGGUUGCGGGGAUAUUUACUCCUUUUUCUAAAUUUUAAAUUCUAACUUAGAUUUAUUAAGUUAAAUUNAUCAGUUAGUUAACGAAGUGAAUUGAAAUAUCUUAGUAACUUCAGGAAAAGAAAUCAAAAGAGAUUCUAUUAUUAACGUGAGCUAGAAUAGAACAGUCUAUAUAUUAAGUAAAACGGUCAAGAAACUGUUUGAAUUUAAUGGGGAACCUUCCUCAAAGGCUAAAUAUAAUACAUGAGCGAUAGCGCAAAGUAUCAUGAGAGAAA
RNAcentral lists this non-coding RNA (314 nucleotides) under Verticillium longisporum. RNAcentral's name for it is "Verticillium dahliae var. longisporum Bacterial large subunit ribosomal RNA". It matches the Rfam family "Bacterial large subunit ribosomal RNA", at positions 35 to 512 of the family's 2925-position model. Lineage: Eukaryota; Fungi; Ascomycota; Sordariomycetes; Glomerellales; Plectosphaerellaceae. The record is from Rfam by way of RNAcentral.